ACUGCGUGCCUUUUGCAAAAUGAGCCAGGGAGUUGUCCUAAGCUGCAAGGUUAAGUCGCAAGACGAAGCCGAAGGGAAACCGAGUCCGAAUAGGGCGUUAAGUAGCUUGGGGCAGACGCGAAGCGGAACGAUCUACCCAUGCCCAAGGUGAAGGACAGGUAAUACUGUCUGGAGGCCUGAACCAGUCGGUGCUGCAAAACCGUUGGAUGAGGUGUGGGUAGCGGUGAAAAGCCAAUCGCGUUCCGGGAUAGCUCGUUCUCUCCGAAAUAGGUCGACGCCUAGCGUCAUGGUAGCUUCUCUCAGGUAGAGCCACUGGAAGGGCUAGGGCCUCGAAAGGGGUACCGAACCCUACCAAACUCCGAAUGGGGAGAAAGCGGUCCAUGGCAGUCAGUACCCGGGGGAUAAGCUCCAGGUACGAGAGGGAAAGAACCCAGACCGUCAGCUAAGGUCCCUAAACUGAGCUAAGUGGGGAAGGAUGUGAAACCCCUAAAACAGCCAGGAGGUUGGCUUAGAGGCAGCCAUCCUUUAAAGAGUGCGUAACAGCUCACUGGCCUAUUGGGGUUUCGCGCCGAAAAUUUAGCGGGGCUAAGCUCAGUACCGAAGCUACGGACAGCGUUAAGCUGUGGUAGGAGAGCGUUCCCUGUUGGCUGAAGUCAAAGCCGUAAGGCAUGAUGGACGACAGGGAAGUGAGGAUCCUGGCAUGAGUAGUAGCGAAGAUAGAUGAGAAAUCUAUCCGCCGGAAGCCCAAGGUUUUGGCGUCAAUGUAAAUCAUACGCCAGUUAGCCGGUACCUAAGGUGAGGCCGAUGAGGCGUAGCCGAUGGAAAACGGGUCAACAUUCCCGUGCCAGCUAAGUGGAGGUUAAGUCAUGACGUAGGAAGCUAAAGGCAGCCUGCUAUGGAAUGCAGGUUCAAGGUAGUAGGAGGAAGGGAUAGGCAAAUCCGUCUCUUCAUACUCCGAGAGCUGAUGAAGUAAUUGCCUUGACGCUACACUACCGAGAAACAAUGGCGUAACCUUUGAAGCUUAGCUGACCGUACUGGAAACCGACACAGGUGGGCUGGGUUAGUAGCCUAAGGCGUCGGGGGAACUCUCCUCAAGGAACUCGGCAAAUUGACCCCGUACCUUCGGAAGAAGGGGUGCCCAUGGAGGUUGUAGUUUUUCGGCGAAGGCCUCCGUGGGUCGCAGAGACCAGGUGGUGCCGACUGUUUACCAAAAACACAGGACUACGCAAACUCGAAAGAGGACGUAUGUGGUCUGAAACCUGGCCAGUGCUCGUAGGUUAAGAGGCGGGGUGCAAGCCCCAAAUCGAAGCCCGGGUAAACGCCGGCCGUAACUAUGACGGUCCUAAGGUAGCGAAAUUCCUUGUCGGGUAAGUUCCGACCUGCAUGAAUGGUCCAACGAGUGCCACGCUGUCUCGAGGAGAGACCCGAUGAAAUUGUGAUGCCGGUCAAGACACCGGCUACCCACGGCAGGACGGAAAGACCCCGUGAAGCUUCACUGUAACCUGACUCAAACACAAA
RNAcentral lists this ribosomal RNA (1518 nucleotides) under hot springs metagenome. RNAcentral's name for it is "bacterial LSU rRNA". It matches the Rfam family "Bacterial large subunit ribosomal RNA", at positions 596 to 2126 of the family's 2925-position model. The record is from RNAcentral.